Molecule: ribosomal RNA, 253 nt
Filed under: uncultured bacterium
Lineage: Bacteria
Description: partial 16S ribosomal RNA
Rfam family: Bacterial small subunit ribosomal RNA
Source: RNAcentral
UACGUAGGGUGCGAGCGUUGUCCGGAAUUAUUGGGCGUAAAGGGCUCGUAGGCGGUCUGUCGCGUCGGGAGUGAAAACCAGGUGCUUAACACCUGGCUUGCUUUCGAUACGGGCAGACUAGAGGUAUUCAGGGGAGAACGGAAUUCCUGGUGUAGCGGUGAAAUGCGCAGAUAUCAGGAGGAACACCGGUGGCGAAGGCGGUUCUCUGGGCCUGUACUGACGCUGAGGAACGAAAGCGUGGGGAGCGAACAGG